Oncorhynchus masou masou (cherry salmon) is the source of this 198-nucleotide small nuclear RNA. RefSeq annotates it as U2 spliceosomal RNA. The record is from RefSeq and is a predicted model, not a curated record. Lineage: Eukaryota; Metazoa; Chordata; Actinopteri; Salmoniformes; Salmonidae. The transcript has a single exon.
AUCCCCUACAGAAGAACAGGGGUCAGGCGCAGGUUGAAGAAUCAUCAUCUGUUCUUAUCAGUUUAAUAUCUGAUACUUCCCCCAUCGGUGGACUAUAUAUUAAAUGGAUUUUGCGAACAGGGAGUCGGAAAUGGGCUUGCUCCAUCUGCUCCACGCACCAACCCGGUAUUGCAGUACCUCCGGAACGGUGAAACACCU